Molecule: ribosomal RNA, 434 nt
Filed under: uncultured bacterium
Lineage: Bacteria
Description: partial 16S ribosomal RNA
Rfam family: Bacterial small subunit ribosomal RNA
Source: RNAcentral
ACGGGAGGCAGCAGUGGGGAAUAUUGCACAAUGGGGGAAACCCUGAUGCAGCGACGCCGCGUGAGCGAUGAAGUAUUUCGGUAUGUAAAGCUCUAUCAGCAGGGAAGAUAAUGACGGUACCUGACUAAGAAGCUCCGGCUAAAUACGUGCCAGCAGCCGCGGUAAUACGUAUGGAGCAAGCGUUAUCCGGAUUUACUGGGUGUAAAGGGAGCGCAGGCGGUCUGGCAAGUCUGAUGUGAAAACCCGGGGCUCAACCCCGGGACUGCAUUGGAAACUGUCAGACUAGAGUGUCGGAGGGGUAAGUGGAAUUCCUAGUGUAGCGGUGAAAUGCGCAGAUAUUAGGAGGAACACCAGUGGCGAAGGCGGCUUACUGGACGACAACUGACGCUGAGGCUCGAAAGCGUGGGGAGCAAACAGGAUUAGAUACCCUGGUA